UUUGAAGUAGCCUUGAGUAAAAGGAGAUAUUCAUGAUCCGGGGGAAAAAUAAUCAGUUUUAUUCUAAAACUGAUGCUGCGUCUUUUGGAAAGAGUAUUGUUACCUAUGGAAUAUUUUGAAGUUUACAAUACAUAAAACUUAAAUCUCAGCACGCACGACUCUGGGGGGGAAAAGUCAUUAGUCACAAGAAGAGGAAAUAAACUAACUCAUUAGGCCAUGGCAUCUGAGUCACUAAAUUAAUUCAGAAGGGGCUGGCUUCCUCCACAUGUGGAAUCCCAGGUAUUCAUUUAUUCAUCCAAUUUGUGUCACGCCCUUGAUAGCUUCUCCAUCCGUGUGCCAGGCCGCGGAUGUGCAGAUGCAGAACACAGACUCACUUCUGGGAAGGAGGGGACGGCCGGCCUGCGGCUCCACGGGAGACUUUGCCCCCAACAAGGUAGCAAAGCAGAAAAAGGAACAGUGCCUGGCACCCAAACAUGGAUUUGCUGGUGAUGCUGUACCCUGGGACUCCCCAAAAGUACAGGACGGAAGGCGCUUUCCUGGGAGCUCGAUUCUGUGUGAAACGAUGGUAACAAACUACAAUUUAGAUUAUUAGAGUGGCUUUGUUUAGUCCACAUCUGGUAUACAAUCAGGGUUCUCCAGAGAAACAGAACAAUGGGAGCUACACAGAUACACAAGAGGAGAGCUGUGGUGAGAACUGGCUGACACGUCUGUGGGGGGGAGGCAAGUCCCAUUGGCACGCCGUCUGCAAGCCGGCCAGCCAGGGAAGCCGAGGUGGUACCUUAGUCUGUGUCCAAAGGCUGAAGGCCAGAGAACCAGGAACUGCUCUGAUGCCCAAGAGCAGGAGAAGAUGGACGUCCCAUCUCAAGAAGAGAGAAUUCACCCUACUUCUGCAAUUUUGUUCUCUCUGGGUGAGCCCUCACGUUCACCCACACUGAGUGAGAGCAGAUUCUUCUUACGUGGUCUAUGAUUUAAAUGCUAAUCUCCUCCAGAAAGACCCUCACAGACACACCCAGAACUAAUAUUCUACCAGCUACCUGGGUGUCUCUUAACCCUGUCCAGUUGAUGCAUAAAACUAACUAUUCCUCUUGGUCAGGGAAACUUGGUUCAUACCCACUGCAUGGGAUCCAGCAAGAUCCACCCAAGCCUGAACCUGGACGUGACAAAUGCACUGUACGUGUCAGAUUCCCUCAGAAACCACUCAGGGAACCCAUGCUACCCUUUGAAGUAUGCUCAAAACAGCGGGCAGUGUUCUGAGGGGAUCCAUCAGCAUUUCAUGGCAAACAUCUUCAGGUAAGCACAUCUUUGAGCAUUUACAAUGUGCCAGUGAAAUAAACCUGCAAGAAGGGACUGGAAUUAUCUCGGUCUUCCUCAGCACUCCACAGUUUACGAAAUACUUGUAACAUUUGUAAUGUUCUAAAGUACGUAAAGCUAUGUACUAGGAUACUAGUUAGCCAGAAGUUAUGCUGAUUUCACAAUUGGGGGGAUGGCCCAGGAGUCGCGCUCAAUUGUCUCUGGGUUCAGCCCUGUAACUUGGAGCAUGACGUCACUCCCUCUUGACAGUUACGGAAAUGGACUUUGAGAGAGCCAGCAAAGUAACUUGGCUAAGGUCAUAAGCAGCAAAGCUGGGAUUAAAUCUCGGUCUGACUUUAGGAUAUUUUCUAGUAUCCCACAACAUACGGCCUGCAGAGUUCAAGUGGAAGUAGGAGAUCAGUAACUGCAGUUUGAGAGUAAAAUUCCUGACCCUACUUUUUCAUUAAUUCAAGUCUACAGACAUUGUGAUCUCCAAAUAGCCAGCCUCAGGGGAGUCCUUACAUCAAAGCACUCUGGGCUUAUGGAUCCCAACAAUCAGAACCUGACUCCAAGGGAGAUGCCACCAGAGGACAAAGGUGCCCCCGAGUGACUCUAAAUGUUGGCUUCCGCGAUUCAGUCAAAACCGUUUCCUGGGGCUGGGGAUUUAGCUCAACGGCAAAGCGCCUGCCUGGCAAGCGCAAGGUCAUGAGUUCGGUUCCCGGUACCGGAGAAAAACCAAAAAAAAAAAAAAAAAAAAAAAAACCGUUUCCUAAUUUACACUGGACUGAGGACAAGGAAGAGGGCUGCAGUCAACCCGCCUGGCUCCUCCAGCUCUGUCUAACGCAAGUGCCACAAUCUGACGCGUCCUAACUGCGCUUCUUUCUUUGGCAACUCCAGCUUUGACAAGAGAGCAAGAACAUCUCCCUCUGACAGGAACAGGGUGUGAAGUGAAAGACUUCAGGGGCUGCACGGGCUCCUGACGGUUCACGAGAAAGCGCCUCCCACCUGUUCUGCACGUGCCUGUGCAGGUGAGUCACCUCACCGCCAGCCAGGCAAGUAUUUUAAGAAACGAGGAGUCAAAGCCAGAACCCGUAGAGAAAGACGGGGGAUGGAGUAUUGCCAUUAGCUUCCAGGGUGUCUUGUUGUCAUGGUGCUAGGAAAAUCACCUCCAUUUGAGUCCCACUCAGCAGCUGUUUUGCUGGAAUCUUUGCGUGAGAGGCUGGUGGCCACCCUAACACAGGCGUGGGACAUGGUGUACACUCGCGUAGACCUGCAGCAGACACCCACUCCAUGGGGCUCACACUGGUUGCCUGACAUAGUUGAAACACUGUGCUCAUGCGGAUGACGGCUCUGUUCCCCCAGAUCAGCUUGAAAACAGCCGGAGUGACCCUGCUGGUUACACGUACCAUGGGACAUCACCGGAAGCUUUGUAGCAGAGCCUGAACUGCAGGAACCCACCUCAGUCUCUGCUCCCUCGUCCCGCAUGUGGCUCUGGAAAAUGUUCCCAUUGCCUAUUUCUUAAAUAUUAGUUGAAGGGUCAGGUCUUACACCAUCCUGAGGGGCGCGGUCAGCCAGGCCCUGGGUGUGAGGUGUUGGGAAAGGCAGAUGGCUGGAGCUCACCUAUCACCUCAUGCUGGGGCAGGUGCAUUCCAC
Molecule: long non-coding RNA, 2943 nt
Organism: Chinchilla lanigera (long-tailed chinchilla)
Lineage: Eukaryota; Metazoa; Chordata; Mammalia; Rodentia; Chinchillidae
Source: Ensembl